ACGGGUGCGUAACACGUGGGAAUAUACCUUUUGGUUCGGAACAACGCAGGGAAACUUGCGCUAAUACCGAAUGUGCCCUUACGGGGAAAGAUUUAUCGCCAAAGGAUUAGCCCGCGUAGGAUUAGCUAGUUGGUGAGGUAAUGGCUCACCAAGGCUCCGAUCCUUAGCUGUUCUGAGAGGAAGAUCAGCCACACUGGGACUGAGACACGGCCCAGACUCCUACGGGAGGCAGCAGUUGGGAAUCUUGGACAAUGGGGGAAACCCUGAUCCAGCCAUGCCGCGUGAGUGAUGAAGGCCUUCGGGUUGUAAAACUCUUUCGACGGGGACGAUAAUGACGGUACCCGUAGAAGAAGCUCCGGCUAACUUCGUGCCAGCAGCCGCGGUAAUACGAAGGGGGCUAGCGUUGUUCGGAAUUACUGGGCGUAAAGCGCGCGCAGGCGGCUAUCCAAGUCAGUGGUGAAAGCCCGGAGCUCAACUCCGGAACUGCCAUUGAAACUGUUUAGCUUGAGGACGAGAGAGGUGAGUGGAAUUCCCAGU
RNAcentral lists this ribosomal RNA (537 nucleotides) under uncultured bacterium. Its description in RNAcentral is "bacterial SSU rRNA". It matches the Rfam family "Bacterial small subunit ribosomal RNA", at positions 102 to 674 of the family's 1533-position model. The record is from RNAcentral.